UCAGAGUACAAUGAUGACCAGCGGAGAC
This 28-nucleotide non-coding RNA is filed under the name Rattus norvegicus (Norway rat). Lineage: Eukaryota; Metazoa; Chordata; Mammalia; Rodentia; Muridae. The record is from RNAcentral.